GGAUUAGAUACCCUGGUAGUCCACGCCGUAAAUGGUGAGUGCUAGGUAUUAGGGAUUCGUCUUUAGUAUCGUAGUUAACGCGUUAAGCACUCCGCCUGGGGAGUACGGUCGCAAGAUUAAAACUCAAAGGAAUUGACGGGGGCCCGCACAAGCGGUGGAGUAUGCGGUUUAAUUCGAAGCAACGCGAAGAACCUUACCAACUCUUGACAUGGUAGUCGCGAGAAUCAGAGAUGAUUUUUUCAGUUCGGCUGGACUGCACACAGGUGUUGCAUGGCUGUCGUCAGCUCGUGCCG
Molecule: ribosomal RNA, 293 nt
Filed under: uncultured bacterium
Lineage: Bacteria
Description: partial 16S ribosomal RNA
Rfam family: Bacterial small subunit ribosomal RNA
Source: RNAcentral